GCCCAAGUGGUGGAAUGGUAGACACAAAGGACUUAAAAUCCUUUGGCAGUAAUGCCGUACGAGUUCGAGUCUCGUCUUGGGCA
Molecule: transfer RNA, 83 nt
Filed under: Candidatus Ornithospirochaeta avicola
Lineage: Bacteria; Pseudomonadati; Spirochaetota; Spirochaetia; Spirochaetales; Spirochaetaceae
Description: tRNA-Leu
Rfam family: tRNA
About the family: Transfer RNA (tRNA) molecules are approximately 80 nucleotides in length. Their secondary structure includes four short double-helical elements and three loops (D, anti-codon, and T loops). Further hydrogen bonds mediate the characteristic L-shaped molecular structure. tRNAs have two regions of fundamental functional importance: the anti-codon, which is responsible for specific mRNA codon recognition, and the 3' end, to which the tRNAs corresponding amino acid is attached (by aminoacyl-tRNA synthetases). tRNAs cope with the degeneracy of the genetic code in two manners: having more than one tRNA (with a specific anti-codon) for a particular amino acid; and 'wobble' base-pairing, i.e. permitting non-standard base-pairing at the 3rd anti-codon position.
Source: RNAcentral